CGGGCGGAGUGCGCACGCGCUGUUUUGUGGAGGACUGGCGGGUCCCUCUGAGCCUUUGGGCGCCAUGCGCAUGCGCUUUUAGGGCUGCCCGCCCUAAAUUGGGGCUGGCCGUGAUGGCGGUGGGGUGACGCAGCGGCCUGAUGGGGAUGCUGUAAGAGUUACUGCUGUGCUUUGAGGAGCUGCUGACCUCCUUUUCCCUCCAUACUCCUCAGACAGCGAGGUGCGAUCCCUGCUGCAAAUAUUACUCAACCCGCUGUUGAGCAAGCUACUCUGAGACGAGAAAUACCUGCCCUGUUUCUUUAUAGCUGCUUCCAUCUGUAGGUGCGUGACUUUGCAGUGCAUUUUCUCGGUCCCCAAGGCUCUCUCCCUGCCAAAAGAGGAUGCUAAUACUAGGUGAAUACAGGCCAUAGACUCUGGAUGUCUUAAGUCAUGCAUUGAGAAGUUCUGCUUGGUCACUCGCUAAUGUUUGGUAAUAAAAGUCACACUUGAAUUCGUUAUUAGGAGUUUGGUUUCAUAGUAACUUCCUACAAGCUGCAGAGGUUCAUCACAGUCAAAGGGGAAGGGGCAGCCACGGGGUGUGUGUGUCUGUGGGCUGCGCACACAGCUGUGCUGCUUCCAUCUUCACCCACCUGGGACCAUGGUGCACAGCUGCUGGGCAGACACAGCCUCCCUGGGCUUUUGCACCCAGAGAAAAACAGCUGAGUGUUGCUGGUAGGAAUCUGGCAUUCUUGGCAGCACACACUUAACUUGCUUGUGUUGCAGGGAGCCAUUCAGAUAUAGAGGCUUGAGAUAAAAUGUCACUUGCUAUUUUUUGUGUGACUGUUUACAACCUGAAAGAUACUGUUUGCUCACUUCCACUGUUGCUCGAUCCCAGAUUUAGUUCUGUACUUUGCAGACAGAUUUUUUUCUACUUAGCAGUCCAACAUACAUUCUGCUGAAUGAAUAUGAAUGAAAGUACUUUAUGCUGAGCAAUUGUAUUAGUUUCACUACUCCUUUUUGUUCAGACUGUUGAAAGGAAACUACUCAUACUCUCAUUUUUGUGGUUGCUGGUUGUAGUACAGAACAGCUCUGCAUAGUUUGUGUUGGGGCAAGUGUUCAUUUAUGUGUGGGUUGUUUGGUUCUGCCCUGAAAUCUUGUAAAAGCCAUAACCUAACUGGGAAUCAGCUCUAGAGAUGUGAACUGAUUUCUUUUGAGAUUCUGCCCUGUCUUUGGUCCUGUGUGUGCUGUAGUAACAAGCACAAAUGGAAGCUGAAAGCUGCAUGCUCAACUUCUGUAGUUCAGCGGAGCUGCAGUGGAAAGGCCAGACAUAUCUAGGGCAGCGUCGCAACAGGUUGGUUGAUCAGCAUCUAAUCCCUACUCCCUCCAGAAACGUCCACAGUGGCCUUUUGCUUGCAGGUGAUGCCAAGGAGAUUGAAGAUCACUGGUGGAGACAAUGGCAGUGACUGAAGAACCCCAGCAACUCUGUCAUACAGCAGAAGUGCUCUAGCUCAGGCUUACCAGUGAGGUUAGAAGAAGACAGUGCCAAGAGAACCUUCCUCAGGGAUCAGAUGUACUCUCUGAAAAUAAAGUAAGGUGGUGUGUUCUGGUGUUAAGUUCAUUGGUUGGGUUUCACUGUUGUCAUUAUUUUCUACAUACAAUAAAGUUAUGUUGGGUCAGAAACUGAA
This is a non-coding RNA of Coturnix japonica (Japanese quail), 1664 nucleotides long. Lineage: Eukaryota; Metazoa; Chordata; Aves; Galliformes; Phasianidae. The record is from RefSeq and is a predicted model, not a curated record.